This 423-nucleotide ribosomal RNA is filed under the name uncultured archaeon. RNAcentral describes it as "partial 16S ribosomal RNA". It matches the Rfam family "Archaeal small subunit ribosomal RNA", at positions 323 to 746 of the family's 1478-position model. The record is from RNAcentral.
CUACGGGUCGCAGCAGGGACGGAAACUAUACAAUGCGCGCAAGCGUGAUAUGGGGAAUCCGAGUGAUGGACCACGCGUUCAUCUUUUCUCAAGUGUAAAUAGCUUGGGGAAUAAGGGCCGGGCAAUAUCGGUGCCAGCCGCCGCGGUAACACCGAAGGCUCGAGUGGUGUCCACGAAUACUGGGCCUAAAGAGCUCGUAGCUGGUCUGGUAAGUUCUCUGUGAAAUCUUCAGGCUUAACCUGGAGGCGUGCAGAGGAUACUGCCAUGACUUGGGAGUGGGGGAGGUCAGGAGUACUUGUGGGGUAGUGGUAAAAUACUGUAAUCCUGCAAGGACUAUCAGUGGCGAAGGCGCCUGACCAAAACACGUCCGACAGUGAGGAGCGAAGGCUAGGAGAACGAAUCGGAUUAGAUACCCCUGUAGUC